Molecule: ribosomal RNA, 399 nt
Filed under: Enterococcus malodoratus
Lineage: Bacteria; Bacillati; Bacillota; Bacilli; Lactobacillales; Enterococcaceae
Description: bacterial SSU rRNA
Rfam family: Bacterial small subunit ribosomal RNA
Source: RNAcentral
CUUUUUCUUUCACCGGAGCUUGCUCCACCGAAAGAAAAGGAGUGGCGAACGGGUGAGUAACACGUGGGUAACCUGCCCAUCAGAAGGGGAUAACACUUGGAAACAGGUGCUAAUACCGUAUAACAGUAGAAACCGCAUGGUUUCUAUUUGAAAGGCGCUUUUGCGUCACUGAUGGAUGGACCCGCGGUGCAUUAGCUAGUUGGUGAGGUAACGGCUCACCAAGGCAACGAUGCAUAGCCGACCUGAGAGGGUGAUCGGCCACAUUGGGACUGAGACACGGCCCAAACUCCUACGGGAGGCAGCAGUAGGGAAUCUUCGGCAAUGGACGAAAGUCUGACCGAGCAACGCCGCGUGAGUGAAGAAGGUUUUCGGAUCGUAAAACUCUGUUGUUAGAGAAGA